AUUGAACGCUGGCGGCAGGCCUAACACAUGCAAGUCGAGCGAGAGUCGGGCAGGGGAGUAUUGUCUGGGAAACUGCCUGAUGGAGGGGGGGAAAAACUCGAGACAGUAGCUAAUACCGCAUACCAUCAGAUGUGCCCCGAUGGGAGUAGCUAGUGGGUGGGGUAACGGCUCACCUAGGCGACGAUCCCUAGCUGGGCUGAGAGGAUGACCAGCCACACUGGAACUGAGACACGGUCCAGACUCCGACGGGAGGCAGCAGUGGGGAAUAUUGCACAAUGGGCGCAAGCCUGAUGCAGCCAUGCCGCGUGUGUGAAGAAGGCCUUCGGGUUGUAAAGCACUUUCAGCGGGGAGGCGUUACCCGCAGAAGAAGCACCGGCUAACUCCGUGCCAGCAGCCGCGGUAAUAC
Molecule: ribosomal RNA, 406 nt
Filed under: uncultured bacterium
Lineage: Bacteria
Description: partial 16S ribosomal RNA
Rfam family: Bacterial small subunit ribosomal RNA
Source: RNAcentral